AGUGGUCAACUGGUAUAGACAUCCCAUUACCACUACUUCCUUCAUUGGACUGCAAGGUAUUUCUGUUUGGAAAAGUAAUGGAGUCCAGUCAACUUCAUUGAUCGCCAAGGACUGUCAAAAUUAUAAAACUUGCUGUGGAGCUCUGACAUGCCAGAAGCCGCUAGAAAAAGAAGUUUGACAUUCAGAAACUUAUCAAGAGGUUCUACUCUUUGGAUAGAGACCAAAAUCAUACUUUGAAAAAGCCUGACAGGUUUCUUCGGAAAAGUGGCCAUCCAUGGAAUGAAUGAAAUGUUCUCUUUCUAUUCCAGGGAUUGCAGUGGCAAAGCUAGGCUAGGUCUUGGAGGCUGGUGUAAGGCGAUGUGGGUGAAGGCAGGAGGCUGAUGGAAAGACUGGGGGGAAGAAAAGCCGAAAUGGAUUCACGGUGCCUUGGAUGAAGGACGAGAGGGGAACUGCAAGCUCCUUCAACUGGUUCUGUCCGGUGAGAAGUGAUCAAGCUUGGGCUGACAAGAGGCUCAGGGAGCCCUCACGUUCUUUCGCUUUUUUACCUGCCAAUCAAACUGCUACAAGACAACACCCUGAUCUGGCAUGGACAUAUCCAACUUAGAAAUAAUGUUUCAUUCAAGAUAAGGCUCGUGGCUUAGGAGAUUGUGACCUGGCUUGCAUCAUUCUAAGACUUCUAUCGUCUGUUUUCAAAACCCAAGGAGGACCUCCUUUUCUGUGUGAUAGUUCCUCAUGCUUUGCCAGCCACUGGGUCUUUAAGGAAGCUUGCCAAGAGUUCCCGGCUGGGAAGGACAGUUCGAGUUCAUCAUAGACAAUGAGCUGGCACCACAGUUUAAGUGACUCACCAACCUGGUUGCCCACUUCAAAAUGUCAAGAACCACACUAUCUAAUUGAAAGAACUGUGUUUUAGCAAAGUGUAAUUGGAUCGCCUGGCAAGAUCAUCUCAAACUAUGUCUCUGACCUUGCCUUUCAGUGGCUAUUUUGAGCACAAGAGGAGAAAGGAAAUGAUUCCUGAAUUAUAUCUUGUUUUUAAAAAUUAA
Molecule: long non-coding RNA, 1040 nt
Filed under: Homo sapiens (human)
Lineage: Eukaryota; Metazoa; Chordata; Mammalia; Primates; Hominidae
Description: SOX2 overlapping transcript
Rfam family: SOX2 overlapping transcript exon 3 (bases 318-593)
Source: RNAcentral